GUGCCUAGGAGGACCAAUAUAUUGUGUAUCUAAUCAGUUGAGAGAUGUAAACAGCAUACUUGGAAUUAAUAAAAAGCAAUGAUUAGACUCCAAGACCUUUAGCAAAAAUUGACUGUGUGGUACAGAGAACGUAUCGCUUUUCAGUGAAGAUAUACACUUUAUCUCACCGGGUUCUAGUUGUCUUUUGUAUUUAUUAACAUACUCAGUAAACUCCUAUACUGCCAGCCUGAGAAAUCUGUGAGGAUCUGGGUUAGAAUAGGUCCUCAGUACCCCUUGCUUGUAAGAGGCGACUGAAUAGAGUGGUCCUUCGGUGAGACAACAACAACCAAGGCCCCUUGUCACAGUAGGCGUGACACGAUAAAGAUCCCUUCCUUCUUAAUGUCCGUGUGCGCAAAGCAAAUGCCUAAACUUUACAGUCCUUCACCGGCAUUGGUAACGUCUCCAUAUGAUAUAUGAGUUAACAAUUCUCCAGUGGGACGCUAAACAAUAUAAGAUCAAACGAAACGCAGUUAUAGGAUCUAGCAUACUGUAAUUGCCUUUUAAAUCUUUGGAUAUGCAAUGAAAGAACUGGGUUAACAACUUUAUUUCAAUAUGAUCCACCGUACUCCUAUUUACAGUUAUAGAUGUAAAUGAAUAUACUGAGAUGUAUUGUCUCCUUAUGCUUAGCAAAUAAAUCUGUUGUUCUUACUCGCACGAUAAUCAUAAUUUGAAGCAUACAACUUUGCACCGGGAGGAGACCGCAUCUAUUUUUACCGUUUUUCAUUGCAUUUAUGGUGUUGAAAAAAAAUGCGUUGGUGGUUAACAUUUUGUUUUACGUCCCAUCGACCAUUUUAUCACUCAUUAUUCAACGGCUGUAUGUGAAGUAACACAACUUGAGCCAUUUGAUUAACGUUAGUUCAGGGGCGUAACAGUAUGGGUUAAUUAACGUGUCAACGGCUGGCACGACACAGGAAUUCCCUUGUUAAGAUCAUAUCCAAAAGACCCGUGGUUCUUACUUUCAUAUAUCGAGUGAUUUGGUAAGGAUCCAAUCCUUACAUAUGCUUUUAUUUUGGGUUUGACACGGCCAUGGCUCCAGCAGGGCUCGAACAAAGCGAACGCACCACCACUGAAUUAUUACGACGGAUGUAGUUUACAAAAUUCAAAUCUAUUACACAAAUCCCAUAAUUAAACAUUUUGUUUACAUUACGAUAAACGAUUGUCUAAGGCUCUACUGGGAUCUACCACUACAAUCUCUCGACAAUAACAAAUGCACUGCAUUAUGCAGUAUAGCAUGUUGACGAGAUUUGGAGGUCACUCAGAUUUCAGAGGUUGUUAUACUGUAAAAUGCAGUGCAUUUCUUAUUGUUCAGAAAUUCUAGUGAUUCACUUUAACAUAGUCUACUGUGGAGAUUAUAACAUGUAUUUACUAUUGUUAUUCAAGAUCUUACAUUUCUGGUGCAUCAAUUGUUUAUUAGAUGGAAAGGUGAAGAUAACGGACAAUUCACGGCGGUUGUGACCUGUCAACAGAAAAUUAUUACUCCUCUUAGGCACCUGAUCCCAUUCCUCUUAUGUCCAGGGGUCCGUGUUUGCUCAACUACUUUUUUGUGUUUCUUAAAAGGGUUAUGAUAUUGAUCACUGUUCUUUGUUUUCGCCUUCUAAAUUCUGUAUCAUAAGAAUAUAAAAACAGGUCAGCUAUUAAAGGAGCACAAUUCGUGCCCAAUGGAAUUCCGACAGAAAUAAAAGGAAAUCUAAAAAUAUAGCUGUAACUGCAAGCAUACGAUAUAAAAGAAUGCUCAAAAGUAUUGCGGGAAAAUCCAGUGAGGGAUACAUAUUAUGAGGGUAUGAUUUGUGACGCUUCACGCCAGUGUACUUCACGUUAGCUCUAUAUGAAAAGUAUGCUGGUGUGAAGCAUUAGAGCCCAUACUCUUCUGUAUUGUCAAACAUGUUUAUGUCUUCUAUUAACAUUCUACUUUCAUUUUUGUCGGAAUUCACAAGCGUUGGAAUAGACACAUUAUUUCUAUCAGGAUGCAUACGCACAAGUUUGUAGCUACAGCGCAAUCAUGAUCAAGGAUAUGGCCAUUACAAUUGUAAAGAUAUCAAUUAAAGUACUCAGAAAGAAAUCUAAUUCAAAAUAAUGAUCUCCAUAAGUUUACCAUAAUAGAGGCACAAAUCGGAAAACACCGCAUCGUCAUACUUUUUUUUUUUUUUACUGUCAAUAGGCCUAUUUAGAAUUGUCUGUUCGUUUCACUGGAUUCGAUCAUAUGAUUGACCCACUUCAUGAAUUUAUCUAUUUCUUAACUAUUUCCUGGUUUGUAAAAUUGAAGUUGAUUUAUUUAUUUUCCGCCACAUUUUCCAAUGUUUAAAACUUCCUUCUCCUCUUUAGAAUAAAGUACAUUCAUAGAUUUGCAGUUCAAUGUAGGAUUCUAGCACUGUAUUCCACGCAACAAUCUGGUUGGGUUUUCUUCGCAUAUAAACACAUAACUUUACCCAACGUGCUUCCACUGUCAGGCUAGCUGUCUGUCUUAGAGAAUAAUACUUUAACUAUCAGCCACCUGAAUCCCAUUCUUCGUUUUUCGGUUUUGAGGAAAACUGAAAAGAACAUUUUUGAAUUAAGCAUGAUGCUUAUCACAAAGAAUGAAUUGAUGACCCUUGAUUAUUUUAUUGAUGAGUCAAGAUAACAGGCAUCUCAUAAACCCUGUAGAUAAUACAGAAAUCAGAGUAUGGUAAAACGGAUCCUUAUACAUCCAGAUAGGAGGAGUAACAUCCUCCGAUGAUCGGUGACACUCACCCUAAGUAUUGAUCAGGCAAACGAAGCAAUCCGUAGUCAAAAUUAGUAUGUAAAGAACGGCUUAACAAUUGGUAUAAAACAUGUCAGACAGCAUUUGACCCAAUAUCCGAUUGUAUGAAUAGUGACUAUUCUGAUUAAGUCAUAUAAAGAAUACAAAAUCGAUAAUAAGACAAACUCAGGCCCCUGGGAAACAAGUAUCUAGAAGGGGUAAACAUCCCGUAUUUUGAUUUUAUCUAAAUUGCCAAUACCUUUGAAAAGCACAUGGGGUUGUAUACAGAUUUAAUUUGCGGUAGAUAAUGAACGUUGCUAAUAGGGAAAUGUGCUUGUAAUUUGCAUCCGAUGUUGGGUUUUUUUCUCUCGUAAAAACGUCCGUAUUUGCAAAUUGCUGUAUUUUUUCACCAGGGAAAAUGAGAGUGUUGAACAUUGUCGUUUUGUUUCUUAGACAUUUCCAAUAUCUUGUUUUCUGUGAUAGAGAGUACAAAAGGUGGAUGGUGUUUAUCUUACAUUAAUCUUUUCUAGAUAUUGAUAAUUUAAAACAAAAACGUAUUUAAAAUGUUCAGAAUUUGAUUCUAUUGAAUCCGUUUGAUUUAGCACAUCCUGUUAUAAGCAUUACAGGCUUGAUAGUGUGUGUUAGAAACGGAUAGCCAAAUUGUAGGUUGCCCAUUGAUUUCUUCCUGUUAUUCAGAAAAUAAGAAUUCUAUGAAUCAUAUUUUUGUAGGCCGGAUGGUAUCCCUUGUUGCUACAAUGAAUACUUGGACGAAAUCAGCAAGCAAUGCAAAGGUCUUACACGGCUAUUACUUCAUGGUUAUUCAUAAAUUCAUAUUGAUCCAUAUAAAUAUAUUGACCAAUUUUUUUUUCUCAUUCGUUUUUAACACAACAUAGAGAACAUAUUAAACAAGCAUUCAAAAACAAUAUUCACGUAUGUACAAGUAAUUCAUAUCAAUAGAUAUCACAAUAUUGAUAAUGAAUAAAUACAAUAAUAGACUAUAUACAUUUAACCAGGAGGAUUUAAUCUCUCAGCAAUUAAUUGUAUAUAUUUACACAAUCUUAAAUUUUUUUUUUCAUUUUUGGUUACAAAUAGAUUAUGAAAUUUUAUCACAUUAGGUCUAGUAUGAAAUAUCUCUGGUACAUAAUGUCGCCUAAUAUUAUUUAAAACAAGACACAUAAGAAUAUAAAUGCAUCUUAUCUCCAAUAUCAGAACUGCAAAUAUUACUUUUUUUUUUAUCUAUAUCUAGCCACCUUCCCGUUUCUAUGGGUAAUUUAUGAUUUGUGGUUCUAAACCUGGUUAAUAUACGUUGUUUAUGUAUUGAAAUAUUUGACAAUAUAUAUUCUUGACAUUUAAAAGUAAGAUUUGUAAAAUUCUGUAUAUUAUACCUUCAGAAGAUUCGUUAUAUUGAGAUACCUUUCGAUCUUUGUUUAAGAUGACAGAUAAUCCAGUUAGUAUUCAUUUUGACAGCAUUAUACAAAGCAUUAGACAUUCCACAGUCAUCUGAUAUUUUCUUUAAAUUCAAAAUCCAUUUUGGUUCACACCCCUUGUGAAAUUUAUGAACACGAGAUUUAUAUCACAAAUAACAAUAUUUUCAUUUUUCCCAUGCAUCACCCGACAACAAAAACUAACAAUUCCUGAUUUGAUAUGUAAACAUAAUGGUGGUCGACCUAUAUCACGAUAAAUCAUAUAAUUUGGAGUUGAUGACUUGACAUGUAAUAAUAAUUUACAAAAUUUUAAGAGUAUAUUUUCAAUAAUGUCAUUGCUUCCAAAACCCCGUUCACAUCCAUAUAGAAGGAUAAGAACAACAAUUGUAUCAAAUACACUGUAAGUGUACAUGAUCUUCUAUUGAAAGAUUAAGAUCACGACCUCUGAUUAUAAUAUCAUAUAGUGAUUGAUCAUGAUAUCUGCUUUUUUGUUAUGACGUAAGCAUGCGAGCCUGGUUUGAUUGGCUGGAAGUGUGAAGAACCGUGCAAAGAAAGGAUAUUAUGGAGUGUUGUGCCGCUUGCCCUGUUUAUGUAGUCCCAAUAACUGCGACCCAGAAGUUGGAUGACCAACAACAACGAAUGAACACACAACACCGAGUAUUCAAUUCAACUGGAGAAUGUCAAAAGGGUUUGCUGACACUGUCAAAUAUUCGGCCCCAACCCUCUCCAUUGAAAUAAAUGGAGAACUUACAGCGGAACAGGAACUUACAACAGGAUAUGCAGGAACAAGAACUCAAAAGUUGCAUCAAGGUUCUCGGAAGUACUCAACCAUUCACAAAGAGAUGUUAACAAACAACGAACAAAAGACCACCAGCACAGUCGUGCAAUGGCAUAGUCAAAGGUCUGAAUCUGAUACAUUUGGAUUUAUCAAAAUUACUAGAAAGCAACGUUAAACAGCAAACCCAACAAGCACGUAUGUCAUUAGACAGAGCGACAGCAGAGACAUUUUGCAGCAUAUUUCAGAAUACAUGGAGUUAAUCAGCAUCUCUUUGUUUCUGAUUGUAGGCAGUGUCGUCACUCUUAUUCUACUACUGUUAUAUACCUGAAGCAGUUCAACACAGGCCAGAUGUAUUGUCGACAACUGCGUGGGACGCUGGAGCGUGGGUACAUGUCAUUGUCCAGCAGGGAACGUCUGCCAAGAAGUGGAAGACAGUCUGACUAUGUGACGCAAAACAGCCUCGACAUUGACGUCCCCAGUACCAUAUAAACAAAGACGGUGACGUAAAGUGAUGACAUAAUUCUAAACAUCGAUUGCUUUAUAAAUAUUGCUUUAACAAGGAUGUUGGAGUCAUGUGAUGCAAAAUAUCGCGAAUGAAGUUUUCUUUAUAAAUAUCGGGUAAGGAAACGUGGUGUCAAAUACAAUUUAUAUCAACCCUUUAUUAGGAAUCACAUGAUAUGCCACGUGUAUAAUAUUGAUACCGUGGCCUGUACAAAAUAUCACAUGACAUCCAUCAAAUAUCAUAUAAUUAAAAUUACAUGACACGUAUAUACAUGUAAUAUUGACAUUGUGGCAUAUACAAAAUAUUACAUGACAUCCAUGUUUGAAGGUUUUACAAAUGUAUAAACAUAAGUCAAAUGAGUAAUUUAAUAUCAAAUAUCAUAUUCCUAUGAUACUGAAACCUUUACAAAGGAUGUUAGAGCCAGAUGAUGACUUAGACUUUUUCAGAUAUCGUAUGAAUACGAAUAAUGAAAUCACGUGAUACCACAUAAAACCGAGAUUGACGCAUCCACAAUCUCCUAUAAAUAUGGAUUCUGGAAUCACGUCAUGUGACAUCGACAUUAUAGCUGAUAUUCAUUAGAAUGCAUGUUUUAAUUCAUUCUUUCAUUUGUUCAGUUUAGUUAAUUGAAGAUAUACAGGCUACUCCGGAUAUAUUGAAAUUCAGGGGACAGACCUGAAUCGUUAUUCGUAUCCAAACUUCAAUAUAACCGUUGUGGGACUAUAUGAAUUGAAUUUAUUGUACUGGGAAUAUACAGAUAGUUCAAUAUAAUAUAGUUCGAUAUAAAUUGGUAGAUAUUUUGUGAUAUAAUAAAAUAAAACUCAUUGAUGUGCU
This is an RNA transcript of Ostrea edulis (European flat oyster), 6290 nucleotides long. RefSeq lists it as uncharacterized. Lineage: Eukaryota; Metazoa; Mollusca; Bivalvia; Ostreida; Ostreidae. The transcript has 7 exons. The record is from RefSeq and is a predicted model, not a curated record.